This 307-nucleotide small RNA is filed under the name Gammaproteobacteria bacterium. Its description in RNAcentral is "partial transfer-messenger RNA". It matches the Rfam family "transfer-messenger RNA", at positions 55 to 374 of the family's 374-position model. Rfam says of the family: Bacterial tmRNA, also known as 10Sa RNA or SsrA, is named for its dual tRNA and mRNA-like properties. Its role is to liberate the mRNA from a stalled ribosome. To accomplish this part of the tmRNA is used as a reading frame that ends in a translation stop signal. The record is from RNAcentral. Lineage: Bacteria; Pseudomonadati; Pseudomonadota; Gammaproteobacteria.
GUGUGGUACCUCGUAAAACCAUCACAAAACUAUAGUUGCCAAUGACGACAACUACGCACUAGCAGCUUAAUAACCUGCCUAGAGCCCUCAGCCUGACGUGUGCUUGUGCACUCAGAUCACUGGGGUCGACUCUCACAAGAUCGCGAUGAAGCCAGUCCGAGGUGGAUUCGUUAAAACCUAGUCGGAAUCGCCUUUAGUUUUCCCUGCCUCUCGGGUAGCUACGGGUUAAAUUAAUAGAAAGGAUAAGCAUGUAGAGCCUAAGGCGGAGGGCUUGCGGACGCGGGUUCGAUUCCCGCCGCCUCCACCA